UGACGGUACCUGGAGAAAAAGCCACGGCUAACUACGUGCCAGCAGCCGCGGUAAUACGUAGGUGGCAAGCGUUGUCCGGAUUUACUGGGUGUAAAGGGCGUGUAGGCGGAGGAUCAAGUCAGAAGUGAAAUCCAUGGGCUCAACCCGUGAACUGCUUUUGAAACUGAUCCCCUUGAGUAUCGGAGAGGCAGGCGGAAUUCCUAGUGUAGCGGUGAAAUGCGUAGAUAUUAGGAGGAACACCAGUGGCGAAGGCGGCCUGCUGGACGACAACUGACGCUGAGGCGCGAAAGCGUGGGGAGCAAACAGGAUUAGAUACCCUG
RNAcentral lists this ribosomal RNA (320 nucleotides) under uncultured bacterium. Its description in RNAcentral is "bacterial SSU rRNA". It matches the Rfam family "Bacterial small subunit ribosomal RNA", at positions 470 to 789 of the family's 1533-position model. The record is from RNAcentral.